GGUAGAGUGGUAUAGUGGUAAGAACACUGGAUUUAGAAUCAGAACUUUUAGAUUCAAAUCCUGAAUCUUCUA
This 72-nucleotide transfer RNA is filed under the name Sarcophilus harrisii (Tasmanian devil). It matches the Rfam family "tRNA". From Rfam's summary of the family: Transfer RNA (tRNA) molecules are approximately 80 nucleotides in length. Their secondary structure includes four short double-helical elements and three loops (D, anti-codon, and T loops). Lineage: Eukaryota; Metazoa; Chordata; Mammalia; Dasyuromorphia; Dasyuridae. The record is from Rfam by way of RNAcentral.